RNAcentral lists this transfer RNA (75 nucleotides) under Streptomyces noursei. RNAcentral's name for it is "tRNA-Ser". Lineage: Bacteria; Bacillati; Actinomycetota; Actinomycetes; Kitasatosporales; Streptomycetaceae. The record is from RNAcentral.
GCGGGUCGUGUCGCACGGCGGCGGCGCCCGCCCCCUGCUCGGGGGCGGGCGCCGUCCGGUGCGGCGGGGCCGCGC